Molecule: ribosomal RNA, 398 nt
Filed under: uncultured bacterium
Lineage: Bacteria
Description: bacterial SSU rRNA
Rfam family: Bacterial small subunit ribosomal RNA
Source: RNAcentral
AGAGUUUGAUCAUGGCUCAGAAUUAACGCUGGCGGCAUGCCUAACACAUGCAAGUCGCACGAGAAAGCCCGGUUCGCCGGGCGAGUAAAGUGGCGCACGGGUGAGUAACGCGUGGAUAAUCUACCUCCUUCUGGGGGAUAACCCAUCGAAAGGUGGGCUAAUACCGCAUAAUCCGGCUGAAUUUUGGUUUGGUCGGCAAAGGUGGCCUCUUGAUCAAAGCUACCGGGAAGAGAUGAGUCCGCGUCCCAUUAGCUUGUUGGUAGGGUAACGGCCUACCAAGGCGACGAUGGGUAGCUGGUCUGAGAGGACGAUCAGCCACACUGGAACUGGUACACGGUCCAGACUCCUACGGGAGGCAGCAGUGAGGAAUAUUGCGCAAUGGGGGAAACCCUGACGCA